UACGAAGGGUGCAAACGUUAUUCGGAAUCACUGGGCGUAAAGGGUGCGUAGACGGUCUGUUAAGUUCGUUGUUAAAGGCUCCGGCCCAACCGGAGUAUUGCGAUGAAAACUGGCACACUAGAGGGUGAGAGAGAGAAGUGGAAUUCCCGGGGUAGCGGUAAAAUGCGUGGAUCUCGGGAGGAACACCAAUGGCGAAGGCAGCUUCUUGGCUCAUACCUGACGUUGAGGCACGAAAGCGUGGGGAGCAAACAGG
Molecule: ribosomal RNA, 253 nt
Filed under: uncultured bacterium
Lineage: Bacteria
Description: partial 16S ribosomal RNA
Rfam family: Bacterial small subunit ribosomal RNA
Source: RNAcentral